CUACUUACCCAGCAGGGGAGAGACCAUGAUCACGAAGGUGGUUUUCCCAGGGCGAGUCUUCUCCAUUGUACUCUGGAUGUGCUGAUCCCUGCAAUUUCCCCAAAGGUGGGAAACUCGACUGCAUAAUUUGUGGUAAUGGGGAACUGCAUUUGCACUCUCCCCUG
RNAcentral lists this small nuclear RNA (164 nucleotides) under Gorilla gorilla gorilla (western lowland gorilla). Its description in RNAcentral is "U1 spliceosomal RNA". It matches the Rfam family "U1 spliceosomal RNA". Rfam says of the family: U1 is a small nuclear RNA (snRNA) component of the spliceosome (involved in pre-mRNA splicing). Lineage: Eukaryota; Metazoa; Chordata; Mammalia; Primates; Hominidae. The record is from Rfam by way of RNAcentral.